GCAUCGAUAGCUCCGUGGCAGAACGGUGAGAUGGUACCCCAUGCAGCCCGGGUUCGAGCCCCGGUCGAUGCA
This is a non-coding RNA of Phthorimaea operculella (potato tuberworm), 72 nucleotides long. Lineage: Eukaryota; Metazoa; Arthropoda; Insecta; Lepidoptera; Gelechiidae. The record is from the annotation of a GenBank genome assembly.